Molecule: long non-coding RNA, 285 nt
Filed under: Lathyrus oleraceus (garden pea)
Lineage: Eukaryota; Viridiplantae; Streptophyta; Magnoliopsida; Fabales; Fabaceae
Description: Pisum sativum (pea) long non-coding RNA (PSAT_LNC006221)
Source: RNAcentral
AAAAAAUGGGAUUAUUGAGAUUGAGAGGGUUAAGUUUGAGUUUGGAAGUGAGAGAGUGAAAGUGGUGAAGAGAGAUAUGAAGUUAUAAAAUAUAAUAAGGAAACAAAAGUAAAACAGAAAAUAAAAGGGUCUGUCCGCUCAGUUCGCGGGGCGAACAUGGUUUGCGCGCCGAACUUUGAGUUUCCAUUCAGUUCGCGGGGCGAAAGCUGUUCGCGGGGCGAACUGAAGGAAUUUUCAAAAAAAAAUAUUGGAAAUUGGAUUGACCUCCAUUCUACUCUCGAAAAA